RNAcentral lists this ribosomal RNA (479 nucleotides) under uncultured bacterium. Its description in RNAcentral is "partial 16S ribosomal RNA". It matches the Rfam family "Bacterial small subunit ribosomal RNA", at positions 28 to 507 of the family's 1533-position model. The record is from RNAcentral.
GAUGAACGCUGGCGGCGUGCUUAACACAUGCAAGUCGAGCGAGAAGUUUUGAAAAGAUUCUUCGGAUGAAAUUUAAAAUGGAAAGCGGCGGACGGGUGAGUAACGCGUAGGCAACCUGCCCCAUACAAAGGGAUAGCAUUUGGAAACGAAUAUUAACACCUUAUGAAACUUAACUAGUGCAUGCUAGGUAGGUCAAAGAUUUAUCGGUAUGGGAUGGGCCUGCGUCUGAUUAGCUAGUUGGUGAGGUAACGGCUCACCAAGGCGACGAUCAGUAGCCGACCUGAGAGGGUGAACGGCCACAUUGGAACUGAGACACGGUCCAAACUCCUACGGGAGGCAGCAGUGGGGAAUAUUGCACAAUGGGGGAAACCCUGAUGCAGCAACGCCGCGUGAACGAUGAAGGCCUUUGGGUCGUAAAGUUCUGUUCUAGGUGAUGAAAACUGACAGUAACCUAGGAGAAAGCCCCGGCUAACUCCGUG